GACGUAGGGCGCGAGCGUGUCCGGAUUUAUUGGGCGUAAAGAGCUCGUAGGCGGCUUGUCGCGUCGAAUGUGAAAACCCACAGCUCAACUGUGGGCUUGCAUUCGAUACGGGCAGACUAGAGUACUGCAGGGGAGACUGGAAUUCCUGGUGUAGCGGUGGAAUGCGCAGAUAUCAGGAGGAACACCGGUGGCGAAGGCGGGUCUCUGGGCCGUAACUGACGCUGGAGGAGCGAAAGCAUGGGGAGCGAACAGG
This 253-nucleotide ribosomal RNA is filed under the name uncultured bacterium. Its description in RNAcentral is "partial 16S ribosomal RNA". It matches the Rfam family "Bacterial small subunit ribosomal RNA", at positions 524 to 776 of the family's 1533-position model. The record is from RNAcentral.